CGCACCUUGCGCCCGUUGGUAUUCCGAUGGGCAUGCCUGUUUGAGUGUCUUGAAACCAUCAAUCCUCUUCGGUUUUGCGACCGUACGGUUGGAAUUGGGGGUCUUUUGCUGGCGAGAGUCGGCUCCCCUUAAAUGCAUCGGUUUGGUAGCCCUUGGCUUAUGCGUCGAACCAGUAAGCGUUGCAUUCACCUCGCUGAGCGUUGUCUGACUGCGGCCUCGGGCGUCGUCCUCACCACGACUUAGCCUCUGGAGUGGCGGUCUACUCAUUGCACCCUUGACCUCAAAUCAGGUAGGACUACCCGCUGAACUUAA
Molecule: unclassified non-coding RNA, 312 nt
Filed under: Luellia sp.
Lineage: Eukaryota; Fungi; Basidiomycota; Agaricomycetes; Trechisporales; Hydnodontaceae
Description: partial contains 5.8S ribosomal RNA, internal transcribed spacer 2, and large subunit ribosomal RNA
Source: RNAcentral